GCCUCGGUAGCUCAGUAGGUAGAGCAGGGGACUGAAAAUCCCCGUGUCGGUGGUUCAACUCCACUCUGAGGCACCA
Molecule: transfer RNA, 76 nt
Filed under: Clostridia bacterium
Lineage: Bacteria; Bacillati; Bacillota; Clostridia
Also listed under: 1 other name
Description: tRNA-Phe
Rfam family: tRNA
About the family: Transfer RNA (tRNA) molecules are approximately 80 nucleotides in length. Their secondary structure includes four short double-helical elements and three loops (D, anti-codon, and T loops).
Source: RNAcentral